Molecule: ribosomal RNA, 401 nt
Filed under: Bacteroidetes bacterium enrichment culture clone LiUU-17-737
Lineage: Bacteria; Pseudomonadati; Bacteroidota
Description: bacterial SSU rRNA
Rfam family: Bacterial small subunit ribosomal RNA
Source: RNAcentral
CAGCAGCCGCGGUAAUACGGAGGGUGCAAGCGUUAUCCGGAUUCACUGGGUUUAAAGGGUGCGUAGGCGGGCAGGUAAGUCAGUGGUGAAAUCUUCGAGCUUAACUCGGAAACUGCCGUUGAUACUAUCUGUCUUGAAUUUAGUGGAGGUAAGCGGAAUAUGUCAUGUAGCGGUGAAAUGCUUAGAUAUGACAUAGAACACCAAUUGCGAAGGCAGCUUGCUACACUAGUAUUGACGCUGAGGCACGAAAGCGUGGGGAUCAAACAGGAUUAGAUACCCUGGUAGUCCACGCCCUAAACGAUGAUUACUCGACAUCAGCGAUACACUGUUGGUGUCUAAGCUAAAGCAUUAAGUAAUCCACCUGGGAAGUACGAUCGCAAGAUUGAAACUCAAAGGAAUUG